Molecule: transfer RNA, 73 nt
Filed under: Perkinsela sp. CCAP 1560/4
Lineage: Eukaryota; Euglenozoa; Kinetoplastea; Prokinetoplastida; Perkinselidae
Rfam family: tRNA
About the family: Transfer RNA (tRNA) molecules are approximately 80 nucleotides in length.
Source: Rfam by way of RNAcentral
GCCUCGGUAGCCUAAUGGUUAAGGCGUUGGCUUCCUAAGCCAAAGAUUGCGGGUUCAAGUCCCGUCCGAGGUA